Molecule: ribosomal RNA, 268 nt
Filed under: uncultured bacterium
Lineage: Bacteria
Description: partial 16S ribosomal RNA
Rfam family: Bacterial small subunit ribosomal RNA
Source: RNAcentral
CCGGCGACCGGCGCACGGGUGAGUAACACGUAUGCAACCUGGCCGCCACAGGGGGAUAACCCGCGGAAACGCGGCCUAAUACCCCGUGACGCCACCGGAGGGCAUCCUCCGGUGGCCAAAGGAGCGAUCCGGUGGUGGAUGGGCAUGCGGCGCAUUAGCUAGACGGCGGGGUGACGGCCCACCGUGGCGACGAUGCGUAGGGGUUCUGAGAGGAAGGCCCCCCACACUGGGACUGAGACACGGCCCAGACUCCUACGGAAGGCAGCAG